Molecule: long non-coding RNA, 1649 nt
Organism: Equus quagga
Lineage: Eukaryota; Metazoa; Chordata; Mammalia; Perissodactyla; Equidae
Exons: 4
Source: RefSeq, a predicted model, not a curated record
CACUUCAACCCCCAGGGGAACCCUAUCAGGGCGUGAUCCUCUUCACAGCUGAGGAAGCUGAGGUCGCAGAUGAAGUCCUUUUCCCACGUUCGCCCUGCUGGGGAAUUGGCGGAAGGAGGUUUGCACGCAGCCCGUCUGAUCCCAAGUCCGCGCGCACAGUCCCUGCAGAGCUCACCUCCCGCCCGGCGGAGGGAGGCCGUCCCGUCCUUGUUCCAGAAGCGUUUCUCGAAGGAGCCCAGGCACGGCUGACACACAAGCCAGCCGCCGCUGUGGUCAGGAAAGGCAGGACGCUUCCUCACAACAACAAAGUUCUUAAAGCCUCUGGAAGCUCCCCCUCAACAGUGGAAACCCCCGGACCUUUGAAGGGAGAGUGAGAGUGAGUCCCCUCUAAACCCAGGACGACCCGGAAAUCCCGCUGACUGCCGGCAGCCGGGGCACAGGGGGCCUACCGGGCUGUACAUCCACCGUCUGGAAGGUUGCUUGGGAGAUCUGCAGCCCUGGCGGAUGCAAAGGCCCUGUGGCUGCCCUUCCUUCCUGUCCUUUAUCCAAAGCUUCGGAUGGAUGGAAUCGCUGAAGUGCACAGGUCUUGGUGAAACUGAGGAGGCUCAGAUCCUGAGAGGUCGUCAAGUGGCGUGGAGUUGAGGCACAGUGUAUUCUCAUAGUGGCCACUUACAACACCAAUUAAAAUUAUGAAUACUGUGUGCCGGACAGAAAAACAAGGUCAACAGCCCGAAGCCUGGAUCCUGACUCUUCAUCUUGUGCAGUGGCUCCAGUUCCACCUGCCACAGAGGGAAGUCUGAUGGAAAGAGGGUCAGAGUAAAACGGGCUGUCCUCAUGAUUGUCAGCAAAUAUCCUACUUUUGCAAAUUUCUCAAAAUGACCCUGUCAGCACAUUGCGAGGCCCCUUCUAGGGCAGGAGAGGAGCUCGUGCACGUGAAGGGUCCUGGAGCUGAGCUUCACCAGCUUCCUGGAAAACCCACCUCUGAGUAGAAGAUUGCAUAUCAGAUUGGCAGCCAGACUGUCAACAAGAGUCCAGUUCUGUGACUGAAAUUUGGUCUAACGUCACCUUCUCAUGGUCCAGAGAAGAAGCUUCAGAUGAUAGGUCGGCUGUUACAACACCAGAAAAGUUGUUGAGCUAAAUCAUGCUAUCAUCAGAGAGCAAGAUUUUCACCAAAAGUCUGGGGAAACCUGGGAUAGAUCCCAACAAGAUGACUCUCCACCUGAAGCCUUCUAGAUCUCAGCCCCUGCCCCACAGGGGAGUAGAUUCUGGGUCUGCCUGUCCCCUCACUGCACUGUUGUGCUGCCUGCACCAGCCUCUGCCACCCGAACAACAGAGCAAUCUCCAUCCCUGCAGUGAAAGUGUGUGGUCUCCAUGUAGAGAUGGAGCAGUGGACAAGGGCUUGAGUGAAACCGUGGCUCGCCUCUCCCCAGUCCUCAUCAGACUAUGUCCUCCCCGAGAGCCGGAGGCCAGCCUGCUCCUCACCUGCCCUGGUACCAGAUCUUCUCCUACAUUUCAUAACGAUGAUGCCAAUUAGGACUGAGACAAUUAGGACUAAGCAGAUGAUGAUUGAUGCGAUGAUCCCUGGAUUUAUCCACAUGGAUGAAGACUGGUGGGUGUCUGGGGUCUUUAAUGGUGGUUCUAAAUAAAGA